AUAAUAUUUUAUCACUUAAUAUUUGCCUUCCAAACAAAGCCAAUAUUUACCGUACUUGAUUCUCUUGCCAUUGAACGAGGAAAUAAACGAACAAUAUAUUAUAAUAAAAAGUAGGAAAAGAAAACGAAAAUAUUGCAAUAUUAUAUUAUUAUUGCCUCAUUACUUACUAUGAGAUUAUUACGAUUUUGAGUUCUAUACAUACAAGAGGACUUGUGCUAAUGUGUUAUCUCUUCUCUACCCGCUUCGUAUAUUUUAUAAAUAGCCAGGAAAAUCUUAGGGUUGGUUUCUUGGUACGUACAAUAUUUUGUUUCUUCUUCUUCUUCUUCUUAAUUUGUAGUGCUUGUUCGUUUUGGUGUCAUGUACCCUAAUAAUAAGAAGCGUCGUUGUGGGAACAUGGCCGCUGGUGUUGCCUUCAAAUACUACAGUUGCAGUAGGUACAUAUCAUCACCAGAAUGGGCAAGUCUUCCUCUGCUGCCUGUGUUUUUGGUUCUAGAUAAUUUGUUUGAGCCCAUUGACCAUGUUUCUUUUGCUGCCGUCUGCAAGCAAUGGCGUUCUCUUGCAAAAGACUAUAAUCAAGCAACACAGCGGUGGCGGCAUAACAACCUACUUCCCAUGCUCUUGAUCCCUAAUGAAUAUGAAUGCCAAGGCGACGGCGGCAAGAAUAGCCGCCUCCUAACGAAAACGAACCACCGAAAAGCAUUAUACAGCAUUGCUGAAGGCAAAAUCUACAACAAUAUUGGAUUGGAAGUGCCUUUUAAAAAGAGGUCUUGUGGGUCUAGCCACGGUUGGUUUGCCACAGUAGAAUCCGUCACAGACCAAGGUCCGAUUAUAGCACUCCGGGACCCUUUCAGAAAUCCGGCAUCGCCCAUUCUUCUCCCUCUCUUGGAUGUCAUACCCAAGAAACGUGACAAAUACUUCCACGAAUUCAAUGUGAGAAAGGUCAUCUUCUCUGCUGACCCUGCUUUGAAUCCAGAUAACUAUGUGGUUGUAGCACUGUUACGUAAAGCUAAUCAUUUUGUGGGUAUUUAUGAUGAAUUUGCUUUCAUUCAUAUGAAAAGAGGCCUAAGCCAAAAACGUUGGACUUGGAUUAAGCCCCCACUUCCGGUCACUGAUGUUAUAUCUUACCAAACCCAAGUCCACCUACUUGGACAUCAGGGAGAGAUUUGGUCAUUAGAUGUCAGCCCUUAUACUUCAAGAAUACGACGACUAAAGCUGCUUACACAUCGGGACGCAGGCUUCCACCGUUAUAAAGCUACAAGAUAUCUUGUAGAAUCAACCAAGGGAGACUUAAUGCAUAUCGAAAGAGUUUGUAAACAAACACAAGGGGCCUACAAGAAUGUUAUGACUGAAAGCUUUAGGGUUUACAAAGUGGUGUUCGACGACGAAGACGGAUCUGUUUUACAACAUGUUGAGGUAAAAAGCAUUGGAGAUGAUGCCUUUUUCAUAGGUGACAAUCAUUCCGUCUCUGUUUUGGCUUCCAACUUUCAUGGAUGCCAGUCAAAUUCCAUAUAUUAUACCCAUGAUUUCUCAUCGUCGUCUUUUGUUUACGGAGACCAUAUCCAAUAUGAUACGCUAUAUGACGACAUGCCAUGUCGCGAUAUGGGUAUUUUUAAUUUAGAGAGCGGAACCAUCACACAACAUUUCUCCUUAGAUCCUUAUUCUGAUUUGCAGGGUUAUAUACCGCCUGCAGUCUGGGUUGUACCCCAGUUUAAUGGACUCCGCUAGCUAGCUUCUUACAAUUAAAUUAACUUUUCAUGUGAUUUCAUCAACGUAAUGUAUUGCACUUUUUUUUCUUUUUCUUUUUCUUUUUUAUGAUGAUCCAUGUGAUCAACUGUGUUCCUGUUUUUUUUUCUUUUCCUAAUAGAUAUGUGGAGUUUAUUUUACUGAUGUGUUAAGAUCGAUGAUUUGAUAAUAUUGCACUAAGUUUUGCUUGGGUUCCAUCUGCCUUAAGGCUGCAAUAGUGGGCUCUAAAUGCCUCAGCCCAACGGAGGUUUGCAACCACACCCAUCAUUGGGCUUGUCCUAAGACCAAUAAUCCCGAAAAGUUGAACCCCAAAGUGGUUGAUUUUGGCCGGUAAUAAUAAUAAUAUUAUGUCGUUGCCUCUAUCCUCUCAUUCUUCGAAAUCAAGUUCUAGGGUUUUGAGAAUUCAAGCUCCAUGGCUUGGCUACCCACAAUCGUAUCGAUGACGAUGAUCAUUUCGGAGGCCAUUUUCUUGGAACUCACAAUUUCAGGCGGCGUGUUGCUUGAGAUGCUAUUCGAGGAGUUUGGU
RNA transcript from Prunus persica (peach), 2269 nucleotides. It is a transcript of the gene named galactinol--sucrose galactosyltransferase, with no coding region annotated. Lineage: Eukaryota; Viridiplantae; Streptophyta; Magnoliopsida; Rosales; Rosaceae. The record is from RefSeq and is a predicted model, not a curated record. The transcript has 3 exons.